This 4485-nucleotide long non-coding RNA is filed under the name Homo sapiens (human). Its description in RNAcentral is "PREDICTED lncRNA (TCONS_00189012)". The stretch from base 1103 to 1378 matches the Rfam family "SOX2 overlapping transcript exon 3". Lineage: Eukaryota; Metazoa; Chordata; Mammalia; Primates; Hominidae. The record is from RNAcentral.
UUUCUCCAUCCUAGUAAUCAAAUUUGAGCAAAAUCAAAUGGGGCUUUCUAUGAAAGUACCUUUUGUUGAUCUGAACGAGCUGGUAAUUUACAAAAUACCCUUCCUUUGUGAGGAAGGCUAAAGAAAAAAAGAAUCAGUAGCUUUUAAAGCUGGGCCUUAGUGGGACUCUAAAUGCAAUGAAAGCAGUCUGUGUUGAGAGACUGAAAUGCAUUUCAAAGCCAGGCCUGAUUCGGGGUACAAGGAAGAACAGACCUAUGUGCAUUUUGUAGGAAGAAAACUGUGAAUGGAAAAAGGAGAAGGGGAGAGAAACGGGGGAAAUCUGGAUAAUACAUUAAAGUAACCAUAAUUUUGGAGAUGCAUUCAUCUUAUUGAAAAUAUAUUUCCUCAUGGUUGUGAUUCCUCUUCACUCUUUUGAAUUUGGAAGGAUGGCAUACACAUCUGAAAAAUACCACUACUUCCUUCAUUGGACUGCAAGGUAUUUCUGUUUGGAAAAGUAAUGGAGUCCAGUCAACUUCAUUGAUCGCCAAGGACUGUCAAAAUUAUAAAACUUGCUGUGGAGCUCUGACAUGCCAGAAGCCGCUAGAAAAAGAAGUUUGACAUUCAGAAACUUAUCAAGAGGUUCUACUCUUUGGAUAGAGACCAAAAUCAUACUUUGAAUGAUAUGCAAUGCAAGACUCCCAAGAUUCUGGGCAGUGGCAGGGAGGUGCAGCUUCUAGUCUGCCGCAUGAUCACAAUGUCAGCUGGUCCCUCUUCUCAGGUGUAGAUCACCUAUUAUAAUUUUACCUAAUUUUGAUACUCUGAUAAGGAAAGUCCCAGGACUUAUCAGCUGGGAUAGGCCUCACUUACAAGACAGCUCUGUUCAGUAUUUGGAAGAAAGCCUGACAGGUUUCUUCGGAAAAGUGGCCAUCCAUGGAAUGAAUGAAAUGUUCUCUUUCUAUUCCACCUCUAGAGACCAUCAAAAAACAAUGGCUCAUAAUGCUUUUAGAACAGAAACUGAAGUUGUAUACUGUGCAUAUGUAAUCCUACACAAGAGGAAGGCAAUGUUUAAAGCUGCUGUCACCUCUUAGGGAAAAAACUGGAAUUCUGAGUCAAGGGAUUGCAGUGGCAAAGCUAGGCUAGGUCUUGGAGGCUGGUGUAAGGCGAUGUGGGUGAAGGCAGGAGGCUGAUGGAAAGACUGGGGGGAAGAAAAGCCGAAAUGGAUUCACGGUGCCUUGGAUGAAGGACGAGAGGGGAACUGCAAGCUCCUUCAACUGGUUCUGUCCGGUGAGAAGUGAUCAAGCUUGGGCUGACAAGAGGCUCAGGGAGCCCUCACGUUCUUUCGCUUUUUUACCUGCCAAUCAAACUGCUACAAGACAACACCCUGAUCUGGCAUGGACAUCGCGGGUCCAAGCCUGUAGCCCCAAAUCGGAUAAUCUCUGCAGCUGAUAACAAGCAAAAGAGAAGCCAGGCAACAGCCAUAUUAAAGAAGAAAACAAUCAACUCUGAGGAAGAAAUGUAAUGAAUUGAGUGCUGUCAGAGAUGUCUUCUGUUUGAACAAUCUGCGAUGGGCUGAAUGGCAGGGACUCCCUCAUCCAGUGCAGAUCCAACUUAGAAAUAAUGUUUCAUUCAAGAUAAGGCUCGUGGCUUAGGAGAUUGUGACCUGGCUUGCAUCAUUCUAAGACUUCUAUCGUCUGUUUUCAAAACCCAAGGAGGACCUCCUUUUCUGUGUGAUAGUUCCUCAUGCUUUGCCAGCCACUGGGUCUUUAAGGAAGCUUGCCAAGAGUUCCCGGCUGGGAAGGACAGUUCGAGUUCAUCAUAGACAAUGAGCUGGCACCACAGUUUAAGUGACUCACCAACCUGGUUGCCCACUUCAAAAUGUCAAGAACCACACUAUCUAAUUGAAAGAACUGUGUUUUAGCAAAGUGUAAUUGGAUCGCCUGGCAAGAUCAUCUCAAACUAUGUCUCUGACCUUGCCUUUCAGUGGCUAUUUUGAGCACAAGAGGAGAAAGGAAAUGAUUCCUGAAUUAUAUCUUGUUUUUAAAAAUUAAGAUUAAUUAAUACUUGGUUUUAUGUUCAUUCCAUUGUAGGAACUUAGUGAUUAUUACAAAACAGUCAAAAUAGGUCAUAGCAAAAUGAACGUUUAAGAUUAGGUUAAAACAUUCCUCUGAAAUUUUAGUAUUCACUUUUGAAGUGUCAAUUACUAUAUUUCUGUAAUUUCUCAUUUUUUUCUUGGCUUAGAGUCAAGAUGAAAAAUGAUAUUUGAAUCAAAGACAUUGUUUUGUUAUAUAGCCACUCCUUUCUAAAAUGCAAAUCCACCCUCCCCUCACCAAUGCUUUAUUCUUUGUGCGCGCACACACACACACACACACACACACACACACACACACACACAGACAUACACAGAACCAGCACCCAAAUGGUAGAGGAGGUCCUUCCAAGACUUCUAGGACCUGGAUCAUGUAAGCAGUAGAUGAGAAAAUGAAGUAAGAGAUAUAGAGUAAUAACAAUAAAAGUCAAUGAUUUCAUUUUACAAAAAAGUCAUUGUGUAGUACUCAGAUAUUUUUAAGAGCAAGUAUUAUUAUGACUAAAGUAUAUUAUACUUCUAAAUUAUUAUGAUUCUCAUCUAAUUUCAAGCCACACAUAGGCGCCAUUUGAAAGCAUUUUGUGUUACAACCUAUCAACAAAAAUCAACUAAUAGUUUUAUAACGUGCAUAGGUUUACCCCAUGGGGAAUUAAAAUUUUUAUCUGCAAGUAUUUCUGUUGUUGUGAGACUUUAGGACAAGACAACAUUUGGUGUUAACAUAGAAGAAUAUUCUAUGGCUUUUUUAGCUUUAAAGUUCAUUACUCUAAAAUAAAGUACACGUGGUAUUUUUUUCUUCCUAGUGUUCUCUUAUUAUAUGUAGAGUAUUUUCGGUUGUUGUUUUUAACGUAUACAUUAUUUUUAUUAAGUCAUUUCAUAAAAGAUAAGAUAUAUACUAAUAGACCCUUGGUUUUCUCCUAAUUUAAUUAUUUCAAGUCAAGCAAAAUUGGGCAAUUUUCUUUCAGGAAAAAAAAAAUAUUGAGCAUGAUUUUGAGGUAAAACUGAUUAUUUACAGCAUCUUUUCUCUAAUAGGCUAACAUUUAUGAUGGAUCUUAUUUCAAAGUUGAUUAUUCUCAAAGAAAAGUGGAGAUAUUAGAAUUUCCGAGUAAAUUGCAUUGUUUUAAAAAGUACUUUAAUGCAUUGUUCACAUUGUUGCCAGCUAUUGACCAAAAAAGAGAAGAAGAAAAAAGAAAUAAAAAAAGCAGUAUCUGCUCCAAACGUCAAGUUUUGCAGUUUGAAAGACUUGUACAUUAUAAUUGUUUUUUUCUUUUUUGGAAAGCAGUAGUAAUUAAUACCAAAGGCAUAGACAAUUUAGGGCCAUAACCUCCCUUCCCCCCUCUCCACCUUUUUUUUUUUUUUUUUUUUUUUUUAACUUUAACCAUGAUAGGCAUCUCUGCAAGGUAGGUUUUAACAUAUUUUUUUCCUAAUUUUUUUCCCUCCAUUCAGUAAGAAGGAUAAGCUUUUAGAGUACCCAGUCACCGUGGUAACUGCCAAAAAAAUUCUCCUGAAGUUUGAAGAGGUCAGCUAGCAGGGUCAACAACCCUGGCCUCUCUCUGAGCUCGGUCUAGCAUGCCCCAGCCUGCGGUUGGAGUGUCAGGCCAGAUCUGACCCUGGGAGGUGGACCAUUCUGGCUCUGAUAUAAAUUUUUCGAGUCAGUUCAUGGCCUGGACUCUCCAGGUGGCCUCCAAAAUCGAUUUUGACCCCCUGACCCUGUCUCACGGAGGCAUAGCAUCCACCCUAAGUAAGGAUUUAGCCAGGAAUGACAGCUUUCCACUGAGUGUUAUUGGGGACAGUAUAAACAGUUUGGAAAGCAAGUAAGGAGGUGUGAGGGCUAGCAAUCAUUAAAAGCACAUUAAAAAACAAUUUUUAAAAAUCUUUAUUAGAGAAAGUUGUAAAUGCAUAUCUGUUACAGAAUUCCUGUGAUUUGUAGAGUUUUCUAGUCAGUUUUGAAUAUAAAUAGGUCACAUAUCUUUAUCUUUUUGCAUACUUUGUUACAAAUAUGCAAAUAAGAUAGGCAUACUUGCUACAAAAUAGGUACAGCAGGAAUGUAAUAUGUUCAGAAAAGGCAAACUGGUUAUUAAAACACAUUAACAGGUAAGGAGUUUCUAAUAUUUUAAAUACUAAAAUUUUACAUGUGUAUUUUGAAGUUUUUAAAAUGGAAAAAUAAAGAACCUUUAAAAAACCCAACAGUGUGGAAUAAAGAUAAACUUGUUGCACUCAAGGUACAUUUCUACUUUGUAAAGCAAGAAGCCAAUACACUCAGUUGGAUAAAAAUGAGAGAAAAAUUGUAAAUAUAGAGAGUUACAGCUUAUAGAGCUGAAGAGGAAUAAAACAAAAAAAAGUGUCUCUGAAUAACUUUAUGUAUUUUCAACAGUUUAAGAUAUCAGAAACUUGGAAAAUAAAUAUGAUAUAUAUAUAAAUCAUCA